UUUUCACAAGGACAUGAUGCGAGUAAAUCAAAGGACGAUUCUAUUGAUAUGUUCUUUUUGUGGCAUUUUUGUUUGGUCGUGUGCCAUGAAAGUUAAUUAGAGUUAACUUUCAUGGCACAUAGUUAAUUAACUUUUAAAAAUAAUUUGGGUGAGAACUAUGGUGGCCAUUUUUGUUUUUU
Long non-coding RNA from Hippocampus zosterae (dwarf seahorse), 179 nucleotides. RefSeq lists it as uncharacterized. Lineage: Eukaryota; Metazoa; Chordata; Actinopteri; Syngnathiformes; Syngnathidae. The record is from RefSeq and is a predicted model, not a curated record. The transcript has 2 exons.